GAAGUAUGGCGAUCAAGUAAAAGCUGCUAACUUUUUUCUUUUAAUGGUUAAAUUCCAUUU
RNAcentral lists this transfer RNA (60 nucleotides) under Drosophila pseudoobscura. RNAcentral describes it as "tRNA-Ser". Lineage: Eukaryota; Metazoa; Arthropoda; Insecta; Diptera; Drosophilidae. The record is from RNAcentral.